Molecule: ribosomal RNA, 465 nt
Filed under: Vreelandella stevensii
Lineage: Bacteria; Pseudomonadati; Pseudomonadota; Gammaproteobacteria; Oceanospirillales; Halomonadaceae
Description: partial 16S ribosomal RNA
Rfam family: Bacterial small subunit ribosomal RNA
Source: RNAcentral
CCUACGGGUGGCUGCAGUGGGGAAUAUUGGACAAUGGGCGAAAGCCUGAUCCAGCCAUGCCGCGUGUGUGAAGAAGGCCUUCGGGUUGUAAAGCACUUUCAGUGGGGAAGAAAGCCUUGGGGCUAAUACCCUCGAGGAAGGACAUCACCCACAGAAGAAGCACCGGCUAACUCCGUGCCAGCAGCCGCGGUAAUACGGAGGGUGCGAGCGUUAAUCGGAAUUACUGGGCGUAAAGCGCGCGUAGGCGGUCUGAUAAGCCGGUUGUGAAAGCCCCGGGCUCAACCUGGGAACGGCAUCCGGAACUGUCAGGCUAGAAUGCAGGAGAGGAAGGUAGAAUUCCCGGUGUAGCGGUGAAAUGCGUAGAGAUCGGGAGGAAUACCAGUGGCGAAGGCGGCCUUCUGGACUGACACUGACGCUGAGGUGCGAAAGCGUGGGUAGCAAACAGGAUUAGAUACCCCAGUAGUC